UACGGAGGGGGCUAGCGUUGUUCGGAAUUACUGGGCGUAAAGCGCACGUAGGCGGCUUUGUAAGUUAGAGGUGAAAGCCUGGAGCUCAACUCCAGAAUUGCCUUUAAUACUGCAUCGCUUGAAUCCAGGAGAGGUGAGUGGAAUUCCGCGUGUAGAGGUGAAAUUCGUAGCUAUUCGGCAGAACACCAGUGGCGAAGGCGGCUCACUGGACUGGUAUUGACGCUGAGGUGCGAAAGCGUGGGGAGCAAACAGG
Molecule: ribosomal RNA, 253 nt
Filed under: uncultured bacterium
Lineage: Bacteria
Description: partial 16S ribosomal RNA
Rfam family: Bacterial small subunit ribosomal RNA
Source: RNAcentral